GGAGGGAUCAUUACACAAUAUGAAAGCGGGUUGGGACCUCACCUCGGUGAGGGCUCCAGCUUGUCUGAAUUAUUCACCCAUGUCUUUUGCGCACUUCUUGUUUCCUGGGCGGGUUCGCCCGCCACCAGGACCAAACCAUAAACCUUUUUGUAAUUGCAAUCAGCGUCAGUAAACAAUGUAAUUAUUACAACUUUCAACAACGGAUCUCUUGGUUCUGGCAUCGAUGAAGAACGCAGCGAAAUGCGAUACGUAGUGUGAAUUGCAGAAUUCAGUGAAUCAUCGAAUCUUUGAACGCACAUUGCGCCCUUUGGUAUUCCAAAGGGCAUGCCUGUUCGAGCGUCAUUUGUACCCUCAAGCUUUGCUUGGUGUUGGGCGUCUUUGUCUCUCACGAGACUCGCCUUAAAAUGAUUGGCAGCCGACCUACUGGUUUCGGAGCGCAGCACAAUUCUUGCACUUUGAAUCAGCCUUGGUUGAGCAUCCAUCAAGACCACAUUUUCUUAACUUUUGACCUCGGAUCAGGUAGGGAUACCCGCUGAACUUAAGCAUAUCAAUA
This 553-nucleotide ribosomal RNA is filed under the name Stemphylium sp. MAFF 235583. RNAcentral describes it as "eukaryotic LSU rRNA". The stretch from base 189 to 342 matches the Rfam family "5.8S ribosomal RNA". Lineage: Eukaryota; Fungi; Ascomycota; Dothideomycetes; Pleosporales; Pleosporaceae. The record is from RNAcentral.